GGCCAGCCCGGAGGGCCCCGCUCGCCCCAUCCAGACAAUGACCCCCUCUCCCGGGCGCCUCCUUUGUAGCACAUCAUGGAGGCCAUUUGGCAUCUGUGGUUGCGUCCACCACCGCCCGAGGACUGGACUCUCCAACUGCGGUGUCCUCCUGUACUGCUGCUCUCCCCCAAAUCUGCCGCUGGCACGUGUGGGGCAUUGCUCCUGUGUAGACGAUCUUGAACGUCUUAAUAGCGCUUUAAUCAGCUACAGCCACGACCUGCAGAAAUUAAGCUGUGUCCACCCAGAAACUUGCCAUGUCAUCAACUGGAGACGGAAUCAACAGGAAGACCAAACCAAAGAGGAAGCUGCGAACCCCUGCAGUGAAUGCAGAUUCUGCUUUCUGCUUUUUAGGCCAAGGCCUAAAAAAGUGUGUGUCAUGCAUGUGUCACAUAGGUAUUGGUUUUAUAUCAAGGAAUGAGACAAAUACUUUGCCCCUGCCAAACCAAGUAUAAGGGACUACUGUUCUCAGUUUAUCUGUUCCCCCUAUCAUGUUUUUCUUUUUUUCAUGGAUGGAAAAUCCUGUGCCCAGGUCCUUGCUGAUGGUUUGCUUGCUCGGGAAUAUGGAAACUCUCUGGCCACAUCUGAAUUCGCAAAAUGAACAGGGGCAGGGCAAAUGCCAGAGCGCUGGUUGUGCAUAGUCCAUGAAGUGGCUUACUGCCAGCCAUGCUUCACCCAAACAAAAGGUGACAGGCUGUGGCUGAGGAACUAGCAUAGGAGAAACUCAAUCUGAGCUAAUGUUCAGAUUCCUAUUGGCCUGUUUUAGGAGAAACUGGUUAAAACUCUUGUAUGGUUGUGAGAUGCACCAGGCUAGUUACCCACAGGGUAGUAGAAAAUGAGCCCUGGACUUUUUUAUUCAUUGGUAGAGACAUGGCCUUGACCCCACAAUGGGUUUGGUGGGGGGAGGGGAAGUGGAGAAGGAGGGGAGUAGGGGAGUGUUCACUGUGAGGCCUCUCCCACUGUGAGCCAGCUUUAAAAAUGAGACUAAUAAUUGAGUGGUUUCUGCUCUGAAUUUCUUCUGUAUUUUACAGAUUUUACAUUAUACCACCAUUAAAGAUAACGUUAAUAGGGAGUAAAUAAGGACUCGGGUCUCCUUGUGUCCAGCUGCUUACCCAAAGUGGUAGUUUUUAAAUGUUUGUUCUGUUUCUGAUCCCAGGAUUCAGGAUCAGUUCAAAUAGAAAGGCUUCAGCAUGCUCCUCUUCAGAAAAAUUAACAGAGUGGAGGUUAUAGCACUUUUUAAAAAGGAGAAGUAACAUGGAGCUUUUCAUAUAGUGCUCAUCAACAGCAGCAGCAAAGACUCUGAGGCAGGAUGAAGGAUUUAUGGUGAAGCUGAAUUAGUGCACAAGAUCUUUGCACAUAAACAAUUGCUUCAAAACGAUGACAGUCAUGUUCAAAUACUGUUUUAGGAAUUCAGGGACAUGCUCUUGGUUAACCAUUAAUAUUUAAUGCUUUUUAAAUCAAUAUGUGUAGCCUUUAAGAGUAACGACCGUAAGAAAAUGUUAGCUUAACAUUAGGAAUAAAUUUUACGUUAUGACUGAGACUGGUCUGUGG
Parus major (Great Tit) is the source of this 1587-nucleotide long non-coding RNA. The record is from Ensembl. Lineage: Eukaryota; Metazoa; Chordata; Aves; Passeriformes; Paridae.